RNAcentral lists this ribosomal RNA (552 nucleotides) under uncultured bacterium. RNAcentral's name for it is "bacterial SSU rRNA". It matches the Rfam family "Bacterial small subunit ribosomal RNA", at positions 112 to 663 of the family's 1533-position model. The record is from RNAcentral.
AACACGUGUGCAACCUGCCUUUAUCUGGGGGAUAGCCUUUCGAAAGGAAGAUUAAUACUCCAUAAUAUAUUGAACGGCAUCGUUUAAUAUUGAAAGCUCCGGCGGAUAGAGAUGGGCACGCGCAAGAUUAGCUAGUUGGUGAGGUAACGGCUCACCAAGGCGAUGAUCUUUAGGGGGCCUGAGAGGGUGAUCCCCCACACUGGUACUGAGACACGGACCAGACUCCUACGGGAGGCAGCAGUGAGGAAUAUUGGUCAAUGGGUGCAAGCCUGAACCAGCCAUCCCGCGUGAAGGACGACUGCCCUAUGGGUUGUAAACUUCUUUUGUAUAGGGAUAAACCUACCCUCGUGAGGGUAGCUGAAGGUACUAUACGAAUAAGCACCGGCUAACUCCGUGCCAGCAGCCGCGGUAAUACGGAGGGUGCAAGCGUUAUCCGGAUUUAUUGGGUUUAAAGGGUCCGUAGGCGGACUUAUAAGUCAGUGGUGAAAGCCUGUCGCUUAACGAUAGAACUGCCAUUGAUAUUGUAAGUCUUGAGUAUAUUUGAGGUAGCUG